UCUCAAAGUUGGACCUACCUAAUCGGAC
This 28-nucleotide non-coding RNA is filed under the name Bombyx mori (domestic silkworm). Lineage: Eukaryota; Metazoa; Arthropoda; Insecta; Lepidoptera; Bombycidae. The record is from RNAcentral.